AAACUGCGAUAAGUAGUGUGAAUUGCAUUUAGUGAAUCAUCGAAUCUUUGAACGCACCCUGCACUCACUGGUAUUCCGGUGAGUACGCCUGUUUCAGUAUCAUUGAAAACACACAAUCAAAACAUUUUCUUUGGUUUGAUUGGCUUUGGGUCUAUCAAAAAGUUUGGCUUGUUUCUUACAAGCCAAGCGGCCUGAAAUAUAUUGUCUGGCUAAUUGCAUCGUUGAUGAUCGCUAUUAGACUUUGGCUUUUUUAAAUGAACUGGAGGUUGAUUAACCAGUUUUAGCUUUAGGAAAAUGGUCAUUGUAAAAAAAAUCUCGAUCUUGGCUAGGUGUUUAUAGCCGAAAAUUUUUUUUUGGCUAUAACCGAAACCAAUAUAAUCACAUUUAGUUAUCGAUCUGAAAUCAGGUGGGACUACCCGCUGAACUUAAGC
RNAcentral lists this unclassified non-coding RNA (431 nucleotides) under plant metagenome. RNAcentral's name for it is "partial contains 5.8S ribosomal RNA, internal transcribed spacer 2, and large subunit ribosomal RNA". The stretch from base 1 to 102 matches the Rfam family "5.8S ribosomal RNA", at positions 50 to 154 of the family's 154-position model. The record is from RNAcentral.